AACGACGUGACACUCGAGAAUGGACGUGAAUUGCAGACACACCGAACUUGAAUACUUUGAACGCACAUUGCAGCGUCGAUCAAAGAUGUCGACGCUGCGCCUGUCUGAGGGUC
Molecule: ribosomal RNA, 113 nt
Filed under: Trichuris trichiura (human whipworm)
Lineage: Eukaryota; Metazoa; Nematoda; Enoplea; Trichinellida; Trichuridae
Description: partial 5.8S ribosomal RNA
Rfam family: 5.8S ribosomal RNA
About the family: 5.8S ribosomal RNA (5.8S rRNA) is a component of the large subunit of the eukaryotic ribosome. It is transcribed by RNA polymerase I as part of the 45S precursor that also contains 18S and 28S rRNA. Functionally, it is thought that 5.8S rRNA may be involved in ribosome translocation.
Source: RNAcentral